RNAcentral lists this ribosomal RNA (332 nucleotides) under Salmonella enterica subsp. enterica serovar Braenderup. Its description in RNAcentral is "partial 23S ribosomal RNA". It matches the Rfam family "Bacterial large subunit ribosomal RNA", at positions 1425 to 1757 of the family's 2925-position model. Lineage: Bacteria; Pseudomonadati; Pseudomonadota; Gammaproteobacteria; Enterobacterales; Enterobacteriaceae. The record is from RNAcentral.
ACGGGUUAAUAUUCCCGUACUUGGUGUUACUGCGAAGGGGGGACGGAGAAGGCUAUGUUGGCCGGGCGACGGUUGUCCCGGUUUAAGCGUGUAGGUGUGUGUUCCAGGUAAAUCCGGUUCACUUUAACACUGAGGCGUGACGACGAGGCACUACGGUGCUGAAGCAACAAAUGCCCUGCUUCCAGGAAAAGCCUCUAAGCAUCAGGUAACAUCAAAUCGUACCCCAAACCGACACAGGUGGUCAGGUAGAGAAUACCAAGGCGCUUGAGAGAACUCGGGUGAAGGAACUAGGCAAAAUGGUGCCGUAACUUCGGGAGAAGGCACGCUGACAC